This 884-nucleotide ribosomal RNA is filed under the name uncultured equine intestinal bacterium YT8. Its description in RNAcentral is "bacterial SSU rRNA". It matches the Rfam family "Bacterial small subunit ribosomal RNA", at positions 505 to 1397 of the family's 1533-position model. The record is from RNAcentral.
GUGCCAGCAGCCGCGGUAAUACGGAGGAUCCGAGCGUUAUCCGGAUUUAUUGGGUUUAAAGGGUGCGCAGGCGGCUUUUUAAGUCAGUGGUUAAAUCGUGACGCUCAACGUCAUCACGCCAUUGAUACUGGAGAGCUUGAUUGCGGUCGAGGUUUGCGGAAUUCGUUGUGUAGCGGUGAAAUGCAUAGAUAUGACGAAGAACACCGAUUGCGUAGGCAGCAGACCAGGCCGUAAAUGACGCUCAUGCACGAAGGUGCGGGGAUCGAACAGGAUUAGAUACCCUGGUAGUCCGCACAGUAAACGAUGAAUACUUGUUUUUGGCGAUACAAUGUCAGAGGCAAAGCGAAAGCGAUAAGUAUUCCACCUGGGGAGUACGCCGGCAACGGUGUUACUCAAAGGAAUUGACGGGGGCCGGCACAAGCGGAGGAACAUGUGGUUUAAUUCGAUGCUACGCGAGGAACCUUACCCGGGCUUGAAAGUUAGUGACGAGCGCAGAGACGCGCUUUCCCUUCGGGGCACGAAACUAGGUGCUGCAUGGUUGUCGUCAGCUCGUGCCGUGAGGUGUCGGCUUAAGUGCCAUAACGAGCGCAACCCUUUUCCGUAGUUACCAUCAUUAAGUUGGGGACUCUACGGACACUGCCAUCGUAAGGUGUGAGGAAGGAUGGGAUGACGUCAAAUCAGCACGGCCCUUACGUCCGGGGCGACACACGUGUUACAAUGGGCAGGACAGCAAGGAACGAGGCGGCGACGCUGAGGGAAUCUCGAAACCUGCUCCCAGUUCGGAUCGGAGUCUGCAACCCGACUCCGUGAAGCUGGAUUCGCUAUAAUCGCGCAUCAGCCAUGGCGCGGUGAAUACGUUCCCGGGCCUUGUACACACCGCCCGU